This is a long non-coding RNA of Gigantopelta aegis, 4348 nucleotides long. RefSeq lists it as uncharacterized. The transcript is spliced from 2 exons. Lineage: Eukaryota; Metazoa; Mollusca; Gastropoda; Neomphalida; Peltospiridae. The record is from RefSeq and is a predicted model, not a curated record.
CAAAUGUGUCACAGGUUUGUAGAUUAACUAAACUUAGUGUUAAUUUUCAUGUGUUUAAACUAGGAUCUGUCCCUUAAAUAGUGAAAAAUAUGUCGUCGUGUUUAAAAACUAGGGUCGGUCACUUCAGUAUAUGGACUAAGUUGUCAUCAUAAACUGAUCUGAAUUUUCAAGAGCUGCAUCAAGACCAAAAUUGACAAAAAAGGAACAGAACCAUUUUAAUUGCUUGUUAGAUACAUUGUGCUUGCAAAGUGGUAUAUCCAAAGUGGAUUAACUUCCCUUGUAUGGUUAAUAUAUAAUCAGUUAGUAAAUAUGUCUGAUAUCAGUACAUGAAACAUUGUGUUUUUCUCAAAUUGAUAUCUUGUGGAUGUAACAAGUCUUGUAAAAACUAGGGGUGGGAAUUCUCCUCAGAUCCACUGUUUUCCUCAUGGAACAUUGUGUUUCCUUGCAUUUUAAUCGUCCUUUCCUCCCAAAUGUGUCCGAUGGCACAGAUUUUAACCUAGGAUUUCAAGAAUUUCUGGGACCCCUCUAGAUUUUCUCUGUUUUUUUUACAGUUCACCAAUUCCCACCCCUGAAAAACACUCCAGUUUAUAUUUACUGUUUUGGUAAUGGAGAACUCGUCUCUUUAUUAAGACAGUGGAGCAGGGACCAGAAUGAUUUUACACAUUCCAGAUUUAUAAUUAUUCUCAUGAGUUGUCAAUCCGAGCUUUCUUGUGAGCUGGUGGAAUCGGGAAGUGACUGGUUUGGUCAGUUUGUUUGUAUUUCUGCAUAUGACAACAAGCCUUAAUUACAUUGUCUGCUCACACAGUCAUUGAUAUUGGUCACAAUUCUUAUUUUGUAGCUGUCUGUGAAAAACCCCCAACUAGUUUGUUCCCACAGAAAGACUGUUGAUAAAUGUGGAGUACAGUAAUAAUGGAUUUAUCUGAGCAUGAACUCCAUAAAAUGUCUUGGCUAUUUAAUUUUUUUAUUUUUAUUUUACAAAACCCCUAAAAUAUUUAAAGGUUGGAUCAUAGAAACAUAAUUUUACACUGCUUUCCAUAAACAUGUAAAUGCUUUUAGGGUUUUAAAAACUUUUUGUUUUCUUUUACAUUGCAUUUUAUACUGUCAAUUUAAUUAACACAAAUUCAGUUACAGAUUGGCAUAAACGUAUUGGCCUGGCCAUGAUAGUACUGGUUCCAUCAGCUCUGAACCUUUUUAAUAUCAUACAAUGUCAUGUUCUGAUUGUGGCAGGUUUGUGUGUAUAUUUUUAGUGACUUAAUAUGUAUAUAUAUUACAGCACUAUGCAUAAUUUUAACUUGUUCAUUUGAUGCAUAAUAAUAAUAAUAAUGGUAUUAUGAUAUUAAAGUAUAUGUUUACGCUAGUCUUACUCUGGUAGUUUGAAGAUGUCUUGACAGAUUAUUGCAUAUAUAUUGUAGGUACCAUGCUUUUAUCAAUGUUUUGUUUUUGUACUCCGAUUGGUCCCAGACUUGAUUACAUUGGACAGAUGGAAGUAAUCGGACAUUGAAUCUAGAUCUUUUAAAAACUUUAUUAUUAACAUUUUGUUAUGGCCAUUAGUGGCAGAUCCAGAAAAUCCAUUUGGGGGAGGUGUGUGUGGCCCAAUGACACAUUGACACAUUGUGGCCAAAGCCAAAAAUAUUCAUGAAAGGAUGCCUCAUAUUCUCCAACAAAAAAAGAAGCUAAAUUUAAGGGGAGGGGGGAGGGGCCCCUUAGAUCCGUCACUGGUCCUUAAUAAAAAAUAUAGUAACAAUAAAUAAAAUAAUGAAAAGUACAUGUUUAAAACAAAUUAUAUAUAUAUAUAUACACAUACAUAUAUAUAUAUAUAUAUAUAUAUAUAUAUAUAUACAUAUACACACACAUACACACAUAUAUACACCCACCACCCAGGAUUUUUGUUGAAUUUACAACAGUAAAAAGAAAUGGCAAUAUAUGUAUGCCCACUAUGCUGCUGUAAUCAACAGAGUGUGUCUCACCCCAACCCUCAUCUUCACAAGCCCUUGGAAUCUCCCAGUGCAAUCAAUUCUGGAAUGACCCAUAUGUGAAGAGAUGUAUUAAGUCACAACAGACCCAAUAUUACAGUGGCGUAGGAAGGUGCCAAAAAAAAGAUCUUCCAUUUUUCUUUUCACUGUAUCCAAGUCUGCAGUCCAUACAAGAAUAUAUUUUGCAUUUAUUUAAUAUUGUAUACUUAUAUCAGGGUUUGUGUUGUCUUCUAGUCUUUAUAGACCGAGUAAUAUCUUGCCUGUCACAUACCUGUGCCGUUGUUCACCUACCCUUGCCACGCUGUUUAAGUCUGCACAGAUGUCUACAGAUCACCUUUUCGAAAGCAUGCACUGUUUGGAAGGAAAUGGUUUAUUUAAUGACGCACUCAACACAUUUUAUUUACGGUUAUAUGGCGUCGGACAUAUGGGCAUGAGAUCCGACUUGCGGCACGGAUUCUGACAUGGGCAAACUUUAACUGAAAGUAGAACAUGAUUAGUACAGUGUAGAAUUACGAUAUAUUUCUAUUGGUCAAUGACCACACAAAUAUUGAGAGAGGAAACCUGCUGUCGCCACAUCAUGGGCUACUCAUUUCGAUUAGCAGCAAGAUAUCUUUUAUAUGCACCAUCCCACAGACAGGACUGCACAUACCACGGCCUUUGAUGUACCAGUCAUGGUGCACUGGCUGGAGUGAGAAAUAGGCACUGUUUGGAUAUGAUUUCUCAGUCUACCAGUACUGAUUAUAGUAACCGUAGUCCCAGUUGGCAAGACAACAUUUUGUUUUCAAAAUACUGAUUAGCAGUAUUGUUCUCGGUUUCAUUAUAGUCAGAUUUAUUGUUAUAGAUAUACCUACAGAAUGUUUUUAGCAUCACAAGAAUUGUGUGGAAUAAUUUGCAAUAUGUUUCUAUUCAACAAGAAAGGUGCUAUAUACAUUAAACCUUUCAACAUGUUUUGUUAAGACAUACGACAAACAAAAUGGCAGCCAUAAAAAGCCUUGCAGUCAUGCAGUUUCCAUUAGCUGCCAUAACUUAAUAUUCGUAAACAAAAAAGCAACAAUAGAAAAUGCCAUCCAUUUUUAAAUAUAAUUUAUUUUUAGAUAUAAUUUUUACAAAGUAUUUGCAUACUCUCCAAGAAAAAGAAUGAAAUGUAGGCAAUUAGAACAUUAAAACAUUAUCCAGGUAUGUUACUAUAAGACCGGGGUACACUGAUACAGGAUAAUAUCAAAUAAUAGUCGGGCAUUCCUGCCAAGACAUGAGAUCCGACUUAUGGCACAGAUUCUGACAUGGGCAAACUUUAACUGAAAGUAACACAUGUUUAGUACAGUAUAGAAAUUACAAUAUACAAUGUAUUUCCAUUGGUCAAAGGGUCUACCCCACCUCCCCCAAUUAUUUGUUGGAAGCCAUGUGACUGACAAAUAAAUAUGGGCCAUUUUUAAAAAGGGUCUCCUUUUCGUUCUGUCCUGAACUCAUUGUUUAUUGCAAAUAAUUUUUAAAUAUCUUAAGAUUAUAGACAACAAUAGCUGUAUAUGUAGCACUGGAUCUAGGAAUAAUGCCUACACAAGUUUGAAUCAAUGGUUCAAGCUUUAAAUUAUUUGCAAUAAAUAGUGUUCUAGAUGAGACAGAAAGGAGAUCUGUAUAUAAAAUUGUUCAUAUAUAUCAUUUGUGGCUUAUUCUAAAGAAAAAAAAACAAUUACAGCAUAAUAAUUACACUGAAACAUAUUUAACUGGCCUGUGGGACUGGCAUCAUUUAAAUUAUACUGGUCUCCAGUAAUUUCUGUUUGUCUGGGGUGAGGGGCUAGUGUUACGUUUCUACCUCUGUUAGUAGAAGACAUACUGAAUAUGACAUUUUUCACGUGGUACCACUUGGCUUAUCAGAAAGUGAAGGUGGCUACAAAUUACUGUAUAUCGCCAUGUAUUGGCCUACUCAAUGGAUACGCCGACCCCUUAGUUUUCCCACUCAAUAUCUGGUGGUAUGAUAUGUAAGCUGACUCAACAUUUAUGUAGCUGAAGCAGGCAAAAAUAUAGAUGUAUCCGAUCGAGAUAAUGUCAGUCUCCUGUAACCCGUGAAUCACAGGAAUUUGUUUUGGUGAACUGAUCAAAAGUACAGUGUACAAAAACUAUUUUAAUAAAGAUUUCAAGAUAAGCUUAUAGGUAUAUAACAAGAUUAAAUUAUCUUGGUUCUGUCAAUGUACUAAAAAUAUCUCUUGACUUUACAGCUCUAAGGCUUGUUGCUUCCAGCACAAAUGACUUGUUGAAUAUUGUAUAAGAAAUUCGAUUUCCUUCCCCCUUUCGAUAUUCUUGCUAUCCUACUAGUAUGAGAAAAUGUAUAACUUACGGAUGUGCACAUAUAAGAAAAUAAACGUAUUGUUAUAUGAAAA